RNAcentral lists this ribosomal RNA (490 nucleotides) under uncultured bacterium. RNAcentral's name for it is "partial 16S ribosomal RNA". It matches the Rfam family "Bacterial small subunit ribosomal RNA", at positions 30 to 507 of the family's 1533-position model. The record is from RNAcentral.
AUUGAACGCUGGCGGCAGGCCUAACACAUGCAAGUCGAACGGUAACAGGAAGAAGCUUGCUUCUUUGCUGACGAGUGGCGGACGGGUGAGUAAUGUCUGGGAAACUGCCUGAUGGAGGGGGAUAACUACUGGAAACGGUAGCUAAUACCGCAUAACGUCGCAAGACCAAAGAGGGGGACCUUCGGGCCUCUUGCCAUCGGAUGUGCCCAGAUGGGAUUAGCUAGUAGGUGGGGUAACGGCUCACCUAGGCGACGAUCCCUAGCUGGUCUGAGAGGAUGACCAGCCACACUGGAACUGAGACACGGUCCAGACUCCUACGGGAGGCAGCAGUGGGGAAUAUAGCACAAUGGGCGCAAGCCUGAUGCAGCCAUGCCGCGUGUAUGAAGAAGGCCUUCGGGUUGUAAAGUACUUUCAGCGGGGAGGAAGGGAGUAAAGUUAAUACCUUUGCUCAUUGACGUUACCCGCAGAAGAAGCACCGGCUAACUCCGUG